AGAGGAGUGCCUGAAAAAGGAUCACCUUGAUAGGGUGGGUUAUGUGUGCGGACCACCUCCUCUC
This 64-nucleotide transfer RNA is filed under the name Afissula kambaitana. Its description in RNAcentral is "tRNA-Ile". Lineage: Eukaryota; Metazoa; Arthropoda; Insecta; Coleoptera; Coccinellidae. The record is from RNAcentral.